GGUGCAUGGUUGUCGUCAGCUCGUGUCGUGAGAUGUUGGUUAAGUCCGCAACGAGCGCAACCCUAUUGUUAGUUGCCAUCAUUCAGUUGGGCACUCUAGCGAGACUGCCGGUAAUAAACCGGAGGAAGUGGGGAUGACGUCAAAUCAUCAUGCCCCUUAUGACCUGGGCUACACACGUGCUACAAUGGUUGGUACAACGAGUUGCGAGUCGGUGACGGCGAGCUAAUCUCUUAAAGCCAAUCUCAGUUCGGAUUGUAGGCUGCAACUCGCCUACAUGAAGUCGGAAUCGCUAGUAAUCGCGGAUCAGCACGCCGCGGUGAAUACGUUCCCGGGCCUU
Molecule: ribosomal RNA, 337 nt
Filed under: uncultured Streptococcus sp.
Lineage: Bacteria; Bacillati; Bacillota; Bacilli; Lactobacillales; Streptococcaceae
Description: bacterial SSU rRNA
Rfam family: Bacterial small subunit ribosomal RNA
Source: RNAcentral